Molecule: unclassified non-coding RNA, 423 nt
Filed under: uncultured fungus
Lineage: Eukaryota; Fungi
Description: partial contains 5.8S ribosomal RNA and internal transcribed spacer 2
Source: RNAcentral
UCAGGGGGUAGUCCUGCUCGAUUUGAGGUCAAAUGUAGAAAAGUUCACGACUUAAGAAAGCCGCGAGUUUAUGGUAAGCUGAAAAUGCCGACUCUCCUUUUGUAAUGAAACGAAUCCCCAUUGAAUGAUGUUCCUGAGAACUUAUGACAACGGGUCAAGCUCGCUUCUGGAAAGUACUUCAAGCUUGUUGUAUUUCAACGGAGUCUUUUUCCUAAGUCAAAGACAAAACCGUCAUGAUCCAACCCUGAACACUUUGAGCUGUUACACUCAAAGGGAGUUGAGAGGUACGCGACACUCAAACGAACAUGCUCCCAGGAAUAACCCGAGAGCGCAAGGUGCGUUCAAAGAUUCGAUGAUUCACUGAAUUCUGCAAUUCACAUUACAUUUCGCGCUUUGCUGCGUUCUUCAUCGAUGCGAGAGCCA